Non-coding RNA from Gossypium raimondii (Peruvian cotton), 136 nucleotides. The record is from Rfam. Lineage: Eukaryota; Viridiplantae; Streptophyta; Magnoliopsida; Malvales; Malvaceae.
UGCUAAAAAUUUUAUCCAUUUCUACUAUUAAAAACGGGUCUAGCUAGUAGAAUACCCAAACAAUUACAUGUGAUGUACCACAUAUACCUCGUAUAAGACGAAUUUUUAACUGUAGAAAUUGAUAGAAUCUUUAACA